Molecule: ribosomal RNA, 800 nt
Filed under: uncultured bacterium
Lineage: Bacteria
Description: bacterial SSU rRNA
Rfam family: Bacterial small subunit ribosomal RNA
Source: RNAcentral
AGAGUUUGAUCAUGGCUCAGGACGAACGCUGGCGGCGUGCUUAACACAUGCAAGUCGAACGAUGAACUCCUAGCUUGCUGGGGGGGAUUAGUGGCGAACGGGUGAGUAACACGUGAGUAACCUGCCCUGGACUCUGGGAUAACUCCGAGAAAUCGGUGCUAAUACCGGAUAGGACCUGGAACCGCAUGGUUUUGGGUGGAAAGUUUUUUCGGUCUGGGAUGGACUCGCGGCCUAUCAGCUUGUUGGUGAGGUAAUGGCUCACCAAGGCGUCGACGGGUAGCCGGCCUGAGAGGGUGACCGGCCACACUGGGACUGAGACACGGCCCAGACUCCUACGGGAGGCAGCAGUGGGGAAUAUUGCACAAUGGGCGCAAGCCUGAUGCAGCAACGCCGCGUGCGGGAUGACGGCCUUCGGGUUGUAAACCGUUUUAGUAAGGAAGAAGGGGAGCUUGCUCCUUGACGGUACUUGCAGAAAAAGGACCGGCUAACUACGUGCCAGCAGCCGCGGUAAUACGUAGGGUCCGAGCGUUGUCCGGAAUUAUUGGGCGUAAAGAGCUCGUAGGCGGUUUGUCACGUCUGCUGUGAAAUCCCGAGGCUCAACCUCGGGCCUGCAGUGGGUACGGGCAGACUGGAGUGCGGUAGGGGAGAAUGGAAUUCCUGGUGUAGCGGUGGAAUGCGCAGAUAUCAGGAGGAACACCGAUGGCGAAGGCAGUUCUCUGGGCCGUAACUGACGCUGAGGAGCGAAAGCGUGGGGAGCGAACAGGAUUAGAUACCCUGAUAGUCCACGCCGUAAACGUUGG